GGUUAAGCGACUAAGCGUACACGGUGGAUGCCCUGGCAGUCAGAGGCGAUGAAGGACGUGCUAAUCUGCGAUAAGCGUCGGUAAGGUGAUAUGAACCGUUAUAACCGGCGAUUUCCGAAUGGGGAAACCCAGUGUGAUUCGUCACACUAUCAUUAACUGAAUCCAUAGGUUAAUGAGGCGAACCGGGGGAACUGAAACAUCUAAGUACCCCGAGGAAAAGAAAUCAACCGAGAUUCCCCCAGUAGCGGCGAGCGAACGGGGAGCAGCCCAGAGCCUGAAUCAGUGUGUGUGUUAGUGGAAGCGUCUGGAAAGGCGCGCGAUACAGGGUGACAGCCCCGUACACAAAAAUGCACAUGCUGUGAGCUCGAUGAGUAGGGCGGGACACGUGGUAUCCUGUCUGAAUAUGGGGGGACCAUCCUCCAAGGCUAAAUACUCCUGACUGACCGAUAGUGAACCAGUACCGUGAGGGAAAGGCGAAAAGAACCCCGGCGAGGGGAGUGAAAAAGAACCUGAAACCGUGUACGUACAAGCAGUGGGAGCACGCUUAGGCGUGUGACUGCGUACCUUUUGUAUAAUGGGUCAGCGACUUAUAUUCUGUAGCAAGGUUAACCGAAUAGGGGAGCCGAAGGGAAACCGAGUCUUAACUGGGCGUUAAGUUGCAGGGUAUAGACCCGAAACCCGGUGAUCUAGCCAUGGGCAGGUUGAAGGUUGGGUAACACUAACUGGAGGACCGAACCGACUAAUGUUGAAAAAUUAGCGGAUGACUUGUGGCUGGGGGUGAAAGGCCAAUCAAACCGGGAGAUAGCUGGUUCUCCCCGAAAGCUAUUUAGGUAGCGCCUCGUGAAUUCAUCUCCGGGGGUAGAGCACUGUUUCGGCAAGGGGGUCAUCCCGACUUACCAACCCGAUGCAAACUGCGAAUACCGGAGAAUGUUAUCACGGGAGACACACGGCGGGUGCUAACGUCCGUCGUGAAGAGGGAAACAACCCAGACCGCCAGCUAAGGUCCCAAAGUCAUGGUUAAGUGGGAAACGAUGUGGGAAGGCCCAGACAGCCAGGAUGUUGGCUUAGAAGCAGCCAUCAUUUAAAGAAAGCGUAAUAGCUCACUGGUCGAGUCGGCCUGCGCGGAAGAUGUAACGGGGCUAAACCAUGCACCGAAGCUGCGGCAGCGACGCUUAUGCGUUGUUGGGUAGGGGAGCGUUCUGUAAGCCUGUGAAGGUGUACUGUGAGGUAUGCUGGAGGUAUCAGAAGUGCGAAUGCUGACAUAAGUAACGAUAAAGCGGGUGAAAAGCCCGCUCGCCGGAAGACCAAGGGUUCCUGUCCAACGUUAAUCGGGGCAGGGUGAGUCGACCCCUAAGGCGAGGCCGAAAGGCGUAGUCGAUGGGAAACAGGUUAAUAUUCCUGUACUUGGUGUUACUGCGAAGGGGGGACGGAGAAGGCUAUGUUGGCCGGGCGACGGUUGUCCCGGUUUAAGCGUGUAGGCUGGUUUUCCAGGCAAAUCCGGAAAAUCAAGGCUGAGGCGUGAUGACGAGGCACUACGGUGCUGAAGCAACAAAUGCCCUGCUUCCAGGAAAAGCCUCUAAGCAUCAGGUAACAUCAAAUCGUACCCCAAACCGACACAGGUGGUCAGGUAGAGAAUACCAAGGCGCUUGAGAGAACUCGGGUGAAGGAACUAGGCAAAAUGGUGCCGUAACUUCGGGAGAAGGCACGCUGAUAUGUAGGUGAAGCGACUUGCUCGUGGAGCUGAAAUCAGUCGAAGAUACCAGCUGGCUGCAACUGUUUAUUAAAAACACAGCACUGUGCAAACACGAAAGUGGACGUAUACGGUGUGACGCCUGCCCGGUGCCGGAAGGUUAAUUGAUGGGGUCAGCGCAAGCGAAGCUCUUGAUCGAAGCCCCGGUAAACGGCGGCCGUAACUAUAACGGUCCUAAGGUAGCGAAAUUCCUUGUCGGGUAAGUUCCGACCUGCACGAAUGGCGUAAUGAUGGCCAGGCUGUCUCCACCCGAGACUCAGUGAAAUUGAACUCGCUGUGAAGAUGCAGUGUACCCGCGGCAAGACGGAAAGACCCCGUGAACCUUUACUAUAGCUUGACACUGAACAUUGAGCCUUGAUGUGUAGGAUAGGUGGGAGGCUUUGAAGUGUGGACGCCAGUCUGCAUGGAGCCGACCUUGAAAUACCACCCUUUAAUGUUUGAUGUUCUAACGUGGACCCGUAAUCCGGGUUGCGGACAGUGUCUGGUGGGUAGUUUGACUGGGGCGGUCUCCUCCUAAAGAGUAACGGAGGAGCACGAAGGUUGGCUAAUCCUGGUCGGACAUCAGGAGGUUAGUGCAAUGGCAUAAGCCAGCUUGACUGCGAGCGUGACGGCGCGAGCAGGUGCGAAAGCAGGUCAUAGUGAUCCGGUGGUUCUGAAUGGAAGGGCCAUCGCUCAACGGAUAAAAGGUACUCCGGGGAUAACAGGCUGAUACCGCCCAAGAGUUCAUAUCGACGGCGGUGUUUGGCACCUCGAUGUCGGCUCAUCACAUCCUGGGGCUGAAGUAGGUCCCAAGGGUAUGGCUGUUCGCCAUUUAAAGUGGUACGCGAGCUGGGUUUAGAACGUCGUGAGACAGUUCGGUCCCUAUCUGCCGUGGGCGCUGGAGAACUGAGGGGGGCUGCUCCUAGUACGAGAGGACCGGAGUGGACGCAUCACUGGUGUUCGGGUUGUCAUGCCAAUGGCACUGCCCGGUAGCUAAAUGCGGAAGAGAUAAGUGCUGAAAGCAUCUAAGCACGAAACUUGCCCCGAGAUGAGUUCUCCCUGACUCCUUGAGAGUCCUGAAGGAACGUUGAAGACGACGACGUUGAUAGGCCGGGUGUGUAAGCGCAGCGAUGCGUUGAGCUAACCGGUACUAAUGAACCGUGAGGCUUAACCUU
This 2904-nucleotide ribosomal RNA is filed under the name Escherichia coli. RNAcentral's name for it is "23S ribosomal RNA". It matches the Rfam family "Bacterial large subunit ribosomal RNA". Lineage: Bacteria; Pseudomonadati; Pseudomonadota; Gammaproteobacteria; Enterobacterales; Enterobacteriaceae. The record is from RNAcentral.